CUACGGGCUGCACCAGUGAGGAAUAUUGCACAAUGGGGGGAACCCUGAUGCAGCAACGCCGCGUGGAGGAUGACGCAUUUCGGUGUGUAAACUCCUUUUAUAUGUCAAGAAAAUGACGGUAGCAUAUGAAUAAGCACCGGCUAACUCCGUGCCAGCAGCCGCGGUAAUACGGAGGGUGCAAGCGUUACUCGGAAUCACUGGGCGUAAAGGACGCGUAGGCGGGUUGGAAAGUCAGGUGUGAAAUCCUACAGCUUAACUGUAGAACUGCACUUGAAACUUCUAAUCUAGAGUAUGGGAGGGGGAGAUGGAAUUAGUGGUGUAGGGGUAAAAUCCGUAGAUAUCACUAGGAAUACCUAAAGCGAAGGCGAUCUCCUGGAACAUUACUGACGCUAAGGCGUGAAAGCGUGGGGAGCAAACAGGAUUAGAUACCCUCGUAGUC
Molecule: ribosomal RNA, 439 nt
Filed under: uncultured bacterium
Lineage: Bacteria
Description: partial 16S ribosomal RNA
Rfam family: Bacterial small subunit ribosomal RNA
Source: RNAcentral